UACGAAGGGUGCAAGCGUUAAUCGGAAUUACUGGGCGUAAAGCGCGCGUAGGUGGUUCAGUAAGUUGGAAGUGAAAUCCCCGGGCUCAACCUGGGAACUGCUUUCAAAACUGCGGAGCUAGAGUACGGUAGAGGGUGGUGGAAUUUCCUGUGUAGCGGUGAAAUGCGUAGAUAUAGGAAGGAACACCAGUGGCGAAGGCGACCACCUGGACUGAUACUGACACUGAGGUGCGAAAGCGUGGGGAGCAAACAGG
This 253-nucleotide ribosomal RNA is filed under the name uncultured bacterium. RNAcentral's name for it is "partial 16S ribosomal RNA". It matches the Rfam family "Bacterial small subunit ribosomal RNA", at positions 524 to 776 of the family's 1533-position model. The record is from RNAcentral.